GACGAACGCUGGCGGCGUGCCUAAUACAUGCAAGUUGAGCGAUGAAGAUUGGUGCUUGCACCAAUUUGAAGAGCAGCGAACGGGUGAGUAACGCGUGGGGAAUCUGCCUUUGAGCGGGGGACAACAUUUGGAAACGAAUGCUAAUACCGCAUAACAACUUUAAACAUAAGUUUUAAGUUUGAAAGAUGCAAUUGCAUCACUCAAAGAUGAUCCCGCGUUGUAUUAGCUAGUUGGUGAGGUAAAGGCUCACCAAGGCGAAGAUACAUAGCCGACCUGAGAGGGUGGUCGGCCACAUUGGGACUGGGACACGGCCCAAACCCCUACGGGAGGCAGCCGUAGGGAAUCUUCGGCAAUGGACGAAAGUCUGGCCGAGCAACGCCGCGUGAGUGAAGAAGGUUUUCGGAUCGUAAAACUCUGUUGGUAGAGAAGAACGUUGGUGAGAGUGGAAAGCUCAUCAAGUGACGGUAACUACACAGAAAGGGACGGCUAACUACGUG
RNAcentral lists this ribosomal RNA (497 nucleotides) under uncultured bacterium. RNAcentral describes it as "partial 16S ribosomal RNA". It matches the Rfam family "Bacterial small subunit ribosomal RNA", at positions 28 to 507 of the family's 1533-position model. The record is from RNAcentral.